AUGCAUUCUUUCAGUAAGACGCAGCGACCUUUGGCCAUGUUGAAGCCACGGUUUUCCAGCUCCUUGUACUCUUGGCAUAGCGCGCAACUCUCACAGAAGAAGUGGACACAGCAGUCCAUGCAGGGCGAUGCUGUCAAGUUGUAUUGCGACCGCAUCGCCGAGCGUUUGGUACAAGAAUACAACCAGUUGCAGCCUACGCAAGCCAGGCAAACAUACAGGGUCCCAUUCAUGCAGCAUGCUGAAAACAAGGAGACUCAGCCACAAAGAUGGAUGAUUUUUAUGCUUCAACCUAAGCACGAAUUCUAA
RNAcentral lists this ribosomal RNA (306 nucleotides) under Triticum aestivum (bread wheat). RNAcentral's name for it is "partial small subunit ribosomal RNA". The record is from RNAcentral. Lineage: Eukaryota; Viridiplantae; Streptophyta; Magnoliopsida; Poales; Poaceae.